Molecule: ribosomal RNA, 111 nt
Filed under: uncultured Piloderma
Lineage: Eukaryota; Fungi; Basidiomycota; Agaricomycetes; Atheliales; Atheliaceae
Description: partial 28S ribosomal RNA
Rfam family: Eukaryotic large subunit ribosomal RNA
Source: RNAcentral
UUGACCUCAAAUCAGGUAGGACUACCCGCUGAACUUAAGCAUAUCAAUAAGCGGAGGAAAAGAACUAACAAGGAUUCCCCUAGUAACUGCGAGUGAAGCGGGAAAGCUCAA